UACGUAGGGGGCGAGCGUUGUCCGGAAUCAUUGGGCGUAAAGCGCGUGUAGGCGGCUUGGUAAGUCUGGUGUGAAAUCUUGGGGCUCAACCCCAAGCCUGCACUGGAUACUGCCUCGCUAGAGUCCGGGAGGGGAGAGUGGAAUUCCCAGUGUAGCGGUGAAAUGCGCAGAUAUUGGGAAGAACACCGGUGGCGAAGGCGGCUCUCUGGAACGGUACUGACGCUGAGACGCGAAAGCGUGGGGAGCGAACAGG
This 253-nucleotide ribosomal RNA is filed under the name uncultured bacterium. RNAcentral describes it as "partial 16S ribosomal RNA". It matches the Rfam family "Bacterial small subunit ribosomal RNA", at positions 524 to 776 of the family's 1533-position model. The record is from RNAcentral. RNAcentral also lists the same sequence under 1 other name.